GAAUGAUCUACUAAGAUAAGCAGUGAGUGAGCAGUCAUUCCAGAGAGCAAGCGAAACUGAAAGUCGCGACUGAUGAAAACUGAACCUGUUUAGAACAAUCAAUACAACAAAGAUGUUUAUUAUAUUAUUAUUACUUGUCUUAAUUGGGUAUUUGACAUAUCUUUAUUACGUGCAAUAUGGACCCAAUGGACGAUUAAUCAAUAAAAUACCAGGACCACCAGGUUAUCCAAUUAUUGGUAAUAUAUUGUUAAUUUGGAAAAAUUCACACGAGGGUAUCUGGAAGGUAUACAUUAAUCUAAUACUGUCUCAUUCCUUU
Long non-coding RNA from Monomorium pharaonis (pharaoh ant), 316 nucleotides. RefSeq lists it as uncharacterized. The record is from RefSeq and is a predicted model, not a curated record. NCBI's taxonomy places the organism in Eukaryota, Metazoa, Arthropoda, Insecta, Hymenoptera, Formicidae. The transcript has 3 exons.